Molecule: small RNA, 21 nt
Filed under: Arabidopsis thaliana (thale cress)
Lineage: Eukaryota; Viridiplantae; Streptophyta; Magnoliopsida; Brassicales; Brassicaceae
Description: ATSL178430
Source: RNAcentral
CAUACGGCCAUAACAUUAUAG